RNAcentral lists this ribosomal RNA (520 nucleotides) under uncultured bacterium. RNAcentral describes it as "partial 16S ribosomal RNA". It matches the Rfam family "Bacterial small subunit ribosomal RNA", at positions 899 to 1397 of the family's 1533-position model. The record is from RNAcentral.
ACUCAAAUGAAUUGACGGGGAUCUACACAAGUGGUGGAGCAUGUGGUUUAAUGCGAUAAUACACGCGAAAUCUUACCAGUUUUUGAAUACAAUCCAAAUUUAAAAGAAGUUUUAAAUUUCUAAAAGUAAUAAUUUUUAUAAGGAUUAUACAGGUGCUGCAUGGCUGUCGUCAGCUCGUGCCGUGAGGUGUUUGGUUAAGUCCCUGAAACGAGCGCAACUCUUUUUUUAUGUUAUUAUGUAAUCAUAACUGAUUAAUAACUUUACAUAAGAGAAUGCCGGUAAUAAGCCGUAUGAAGUGAGAACGACGUCAAGCCCUUAUGGCCCUUAUAAACUGGGCUACACACGUGCUACAAUGAUAACAACAAAGAGAUAUACGACAGAGCGAUCUUGAGUAAACUCAAAAAAACUAUCGUGUUCAGAUUAUAGACUGCAAUUUGUCUAUAUGAAGGCGGAAUCACAAGUAAUCGUAAAUCAUCAAGUUACGGUGAAUUUGUACCUGGAUCUUGCACACACCGCCCGU